AUGCGUGAGCGUGCUAAGGUAGCGUUAUAAUUAGCCUUUUAAUUGGAGGCCAGUGAAUGGCAAGACUAGGAACACCUUUACUUUGUGGUGUCAAAAAAACUUUUCGUCUAAGUGAAAAGACUUAGAUAACAAAGGAAGACGAAAAGACCCCGCGGAGCUUUACCUCUUCUCGCGCUUCUGUUUACACACUUAAAAGUGCUUAAGGUUUGAUUGGGGCAAUCUCGGAAUCAUCAAAGCUUCCGAUUCUUUAGAAAUCACAUCUAAAACUUACUAAGGACCAAAAAGAAGCUACCCCGGGGAUAACAGCGUAAUCCAACUCAAGAGUACAUAUCGAAAGUUGGGUUUGCGACCUCGAUGUUGGCUUAAGGAUAUCCACAUUAGUGCAACCGCUAUGACAGGAUAGUCUGUUCGACUAUUAUACCCUUACACGAGCUGAGUUAAGACCGGCGUAAGCUAGGUUGGUUUCUAUCUCCUUUAUCUUAAAUAUCUUCUUGAUUGUACGAAGGACC
RNAcentral lists this ribosomal RNA (509 nucleotides) under Cristaria plicata. RNAcentral describes it as "partial 16S rRNA". It matches the Rfam family "Bacterial large subunit ribosomal RNA", at positions 1938 to 2693 of the family's 2925-position model. Lineage: Eukaryota; Metazoa; Mollusca; Bivalvia; Unionida; Unionidae. The record is from RNAcentral.